GGCGAACGGGUGAGUAAUGUAUCGGAACGUACCUUUCAGUGGGGGAUAACGUAGCGAAAGUUACGCUAAUACCGCAUAUUCUGUGAGCAGGAAAGCAGGGGAUCGCAAGACCUUGCGCUGAUUGAGCGGCCGAUAUCAGAUUAGCUAGUUGGUGAGGUAAAGGCUCACCAAGGCGACGAUCUGUAGCGGGUCUGAGAGGAUGAUCCGCCACACUGGAACUGAGACACGGUCCAGACUCCUACGGGAGGCAGCAGUGGGGAAUUUUGGACAAUGGGGGCAACCCUGAUCCAGCCAUGCCGCGUGAGUGAAGAAGGCCUUCGGGUUGUAAAGCUCUUUCAGCCGGGAAGAAAUCACAUGGGUUAAUACCCUGUGUGGAUGACGGUACCGGAAUAAGAAGCACCGGCUAACUACGUGCCAGCAGCCGCGGUAAUACGUAGGGUGCGAGCGUUAAUCGGAAUUACUGGGCGUAAAGCGUGCGCAGGCGGUUUGUUAAGAUAGGCGUGAAAUCCCCGGGCUCAACCUGGGAACUGCGUUUAUGACUGGCAGGCUAGAGUAUGGCAGAGGGGGGUGGAAUUCCACGUGUAGCAGUGAAAUGCGUAGAGAUGUGGAGGAACACCGAUGGCGAAGGCAGCCCCCUGGGCCAAUACUGACGCUCAUGCACGAAAGCGUGGGUAGCAAACAGGAUUAGAUACCCUGGUAGUCCACGCCCUAAACGAUGUCAACUAGGUGUUGGGUGGGUAAAACCAUUUAGUACCGGAGCUAACGCGUGAAGUUGACCGCCUGGGGAGUACGGCCGCAAGGUUAAAACUCAAAGGAAUUGACGGGACCCGCACAGCGGUGGAUGGAUGGUGGAUUAAUUCGAUGCACGCGAAAACCUUACCUACCCUUGACAUGUCAGAGCUCUAGAGAUUUGAGUGGUGCCCGAAAGGACUGGAACACAGUGCUGCAUGCUGUCGUCAGCUCGUGUCGUGAGAAUGGUUGGGUAAGUCCCGCAACGAAGCGCACACCCUUGUCCGUUAAUUGCCACUCAU
This 1031-nucleotide ribosomal RNA is filed under the name uncultured bacterium. RNAcentral's name for it is "bacterial SSU rRNA". It matches the Rfam family "Bacterial small subunit ribosomal RNA", at positions 97 to 1125 of the family's 1533-position model. The record is from RNAcentral.